GUGUUGAGCUCAUUGUGGUCCAUCCUCUGACAACAUGGCUGUUGCCUUAUCAUUCCUCUACACACUGCUGCAGCUAUUCUUCAGUGGAGGGACUCAGAGGAGAUUGUGUUCUUGACUGCUCUGUUCUACCUGCUGAGUUACUCUGAGCAAGACUACCUCCCUGGUCAUGGAUUUGUUCCCUCACUUAACCCUCUCCCCCAAUGAUCCCACAACUGGUGCCCCAAUCGAGGUCGGUGUGGACGGAGAUAAGAAGAAACACGGCAAGACUUUCUCACGGCAGUAAGGAGUGUGUUCCAUGCAACGUUCAGACGAGCAUUCUGUUUGUAGUUUCUUUCCAGUUUCCUGAUGAGUGGUAUGGUCGCAAGGGCGUACAUGGGCAUCGCAAGUGGGUCUCCCUGAGUGGUUCCCUCUUGAGAUAGUAAUGUGUCUCCAUCCACGAACAGUUCGGUGGGGGCUCUGUAAUUGUUAAUUAGUAUGAUGGCGAGGGGUGGACACAGUCUUUGAAUAUUAUGAAGAGCAACUUGUCUGUUAAGCGAGUUAAAGGCGUUGCUGGCAUCAACCAGGAGCACACCUUCGCUGUCAUCUGAUUCAAAGGAAGUUCUUACCGCAUGCACUGCAGCUUCAAUUCCAGCGAUCUGUCCCCCACACAGUUGAAGACAUCCAGCGGUGUCUUGUAUGUCCUGCCUAGUAAUGGAGAGGACUGCUUUAGCAAUAAUCCAUCAGGCAGUGUCUUCAACACCUAUAGGACGUACACCUGGGGUUUUGUCCAGGGCGAUAAGCCUGCAGGCAAGUAGGGGUGAGAUAGAUUUGGGAUCAAUAUAAGAUGUGCAGAUCCUCCUUGCUGCCAGACUGAGCGAGUUGCAUAUGUCAGCAGAGGCACCUUUAUAUGAUGUACAUAUUCUUCUCCAAUCGUGUGCGUCUAUGCCCGAUGGUCCCGCUGAGCCGGUGGUCCUCAAUGCGUUAUACCGCUACGUCUUCUGCAACGUAAUGUUAUUUAUUAUAAACGUACGUGGUUUUUCAUACAAAAACGUACGUGCCAGGUUAUAUAUAUCUGAAACACCUAGCAAGUGACAGAGAGACUUGCACAAAAAGCGUAUCUGGCUAAUUAUUACAUUAAGAAUAGAUUGGUUUACUGCUAUAAAUACAUCUAUGUAUCGAUCUCGUCUUCCACAUUGUCUAAUUGUGUAUAAUUAUAUA
Molecule: long non-coding RNA, 1197 nt
Organism: Halichondria panicea
Lineage: Eukaryota; Metazoa; Porifera; Demospongiae; Suberitida; Halichondriidae
Exons: 3
Source: RefSeq, a predicted model, not a curated record